GAUGAACGCUAGCGGCAGGCCUAAUACAUGCCAGUCGAACGGGUGGUCGCAAGACCACUAGUGGCGCACGGGUGCGUAACGCGUAACCAACCUGCCCCGAUCUGGGGGAUAGCCCGCCGAAAGGCGGAUUAAUACCGCAUAUACCCGCAGCCUGGCAUCAGGCAACGGGGAAAGAUUUAUUGGAUCGGGAUGGGGUUGCGUGACAUUAGCUAGUUGGCGGGGUAAGGGCCCACCAAGGCGACGAUGUCUAGGGGACCUGCGAGGGUGAUCUCCCACACUGGGACUGGGUUACGAGCCAGACUCCUACGGGAGGCAGCAGUAGGGAAUAUUGGGCAAUGGGCGAGAGCCUGACCCAGCCAUGCCGCGUGCCGGAUGAAGGCCUUCUGGGUUGUAAACGGCUUUUCUCAGGGAAGAAAAAGACCUUGCGAGGUACACUGACGGUACCUGAGGAAUAAGCACCGGCUAACUCCGUG
Molecule: ribosomal RNA, 473 nt
Filed under: uncultured bacterium
Lineage: Bacteria
Description: partial 16S ribosomal RNA
Rfam family: Bacterial small subunit ribosomal RNA
Source: RNAcentral